Long non-coding RNA from Canis lupus familiaris (dog), 447 nucleotides. RefSeq lists it as uncharacterized. The transcript is spliced from 4 exons. NCBI's taxonomy places the organism in Eukaryota, Metazoa, Chordata, Mammalia, Carnivora, Canidae. The record is from RefSeq and is a predicted model, not a curated record.
GAUAAAAUGGCUACUGACUGGACCUUGCAGCUGAAUGAGAAGAAACAACAAAUCAGCCUUAAAUACCUGAAGGAUACCAUGCUUUGGGCUUUCCCAUGUCAGUUCUUGUAACUGAUCUGUCCUCAUGCCUGUGAAAUUGUGAAUUGUGAAAGGUCUCUUAACAUAUCUGGGAACUAAAUGGUUAAGCAUUGAUGUCACUUCAAAGUUAUGGAGGUAGUACGUGACAUGAGAGCUGAGAUUAAUGUCCACUUCUCAUCAACACUGGAGUUGAGGGUUCCACCACAUUUAUUAGAGAGUGGCUGGGUAGAGGCAUAAAUAACCAAAAUCAUUGGAAAAGGAGAGCAAAGUUACAAAGACAAAGUAGACUUAAAAAAAAAAAGAAAUUUUGUUUGUAACCUGCAGCCUCCGAGCAUUUGCUCCUCAGCACCAAGAGCAUCAAGCCUGCAG